ACAUCUCCCACGAAGUCGACAAAAUGUAUUAAUGAAUUUUCUGUUCGCCGUCUGUUUUAGUCGAUGCUGGAACGUGGAGAGAGGAAUCGGAAUUUCGAGUGGAGCGUUUCAAUGCCGCCUCCUGAAAGUAUCCUCCUGAAAACGACGAGGGAACAAGCUCGAAGAGAAUUUCUCGAGAACCUGCGUGGAAUUAUUAUCCACGGUGGAGAGAUUGAAUCGUCAGGAAAGAAACUUGAGCACCAGGAAUUCGAGCACCGUCCACCCGAGCAUCGAAGCGAUAAUUACAAGGAAAUCGAGUGCGAACGAGCUGUGUUUAUCGGCUGCGAUCGGCCAAGCCACUGGCGGGCCAACCGAUAGAGAGAGCAAGAGAGAGAUAGAGAGAAGGAGAGAAUCUGUGUCAGAGGUUGCUUAUGCCUCGGAUUUAUGGGUUUGAUUACUCGCCGUGGCGGCAUACGUGCCGCGAUUUUGUAUGGGUAAAUCGUGAUCCUCCACGCCUCCUUGCCACGGCCUUCCCUCCACCCCGCCCUGGCGAAACCCCGAUCGCGUAUAAAGUUAUCGCAUUCCCGGCCCCGUAAGUGUCCAUUGUCUACUUUCAGGCCCGCAUUAUGCCCGUUCCUUCUCUUCCCACCAACUUCCCAUCCUGCCCGCUGUAAUUUCACUUUUACAGCCGCGUAUCCAAUUGACCGGCGAUAAUCCCCGUGUGUGCCACCUCUCCUCUCCUUGAUCCUCUCUCUCCUCCGACGAAUCUUUACUCUAAAUCUGCUCGUUACGUCCAAUGGAAACUCUUAUGCAAUAAUUCUUCUCAAACUCUGAUGCGAGUAUGCUUGUUGGAAAGGAGGAGUCAUCAGAGGUUCGUUGAAAAAGUGCUUACGGGCUGGAGCAAAGACGCAGCCAUCAGAGCGAUGAUGGUGGAGAUGGAGGGGCACGAAACGGUCGAAAAACGGCGCAUCAAUCUUGCACCGGCUCUCCCGAAGCGUGGCCAAAGUCCCUCGAGGAGGAGGAGGAGGACGGUGUCGGGGAGAGACGUCGCUCGGCGAGAAGAUGAGAAACGUCGCGGGAGGUCCGGGAUUGAUGGACAUCCUCACCUACACGCCUGAUUAUUUGCCACCACACGCAGCUCUUGGCCGUAACCCGGCUCCGUAACCGCUCUUACGCGUGUUGCCACGGAUUCACACCGAUAAUCACGUCGAUCGUUAGCGCCUCGUUCACGCCUCAUUUCGACAAACGUCGUUGAUUUCCAUGCUCUUACAAUCUCUCGUUCUCGAGGCUUCGAAGAAGUUGGAAUUUCUUGGUUUUUGAGAGUAGCAUUGAUCUCGAAUUCAAUUUUUAUAUAAUUUAUACGGAUAAUGCUUUGGACUUUGGUGUUUAAGUUAAGUUAGUUUUGGAAUUUUUGAUUUUUGGAGUUAGCAUUGGCUAGUUGGAAUUCAAUUUUUAUUUAGGUUGACGAAUUUUGAGUUUAUUCUUCAAAUACAUUUUUGAGGUUAAUAUCAAUUUGAGAUUAAAGGAUUCUUCUUUGCUCCAGAUCUUUCUAUUUUAUAUAGUUUCCAAGAAGUUAAAGGAUUCUUCUUUAUGAUUAAUCUCUCGACUUUUAAACUUUGAUCUUACUUUACAUCAUUCUUUUUCCAAUUUUGAGGUUAAUAUCAAUUUGAGAUUAAAAAAUUCUUCUUUGCUCCAGAUCUUCCUAUCUUACAGUUUCCAAGAAGUUAAAGGAUUCUUUUUUAUGAUUAAUCUCUCGACUUUUAAACUUUGAUCUUACUUUACAUCAUUCCUUUUCCAAUUUUGAGGAUAAUAUCAAUUUGAGAUUAAAAGAUUCUUCUUUGCUCCAGAUCUUCCUAUCUUAUAUAGUUUCCAAGAAGUUAAAGGAUUCUUCUUUAUUAUUAAUCUCUCGACUUUUAGUCUUUGAUCUUGCUUUACAUCAUUCCUUUUCCAAUUUUGAGGUUAAUAUCAAUUUGAGAUUAAAGGAUUCUUCUUUGCUCCAGAUCUUCCUAUCUUAUAUAGUUUAUAUAGUUUCCAAGAAGUUAAAGGAUUCUUCUUUAUGAUUAAUCUCUCAACUUUUAGUCUUUGAUCUUGCUUUACAUCAUUCCUUUUCCAAUUUUUUAAAACUUUUCCUACUAAUUCCUUCUUUUCUCAAACGAACAAAUUUCAAUUAUUCCCCCAUUCGUUCGAAUAAACUUGCUUUGAUAAUUCAUGGACGAAUCAUCAUUCUCCAUUUUCUCGCUUACGUGAUUUUUAAUCGAGUAAGUAAACGGGAGGUAAGCAGGUGUAACCGCAUUAUAAAAGCCGCUUCUCAACACCUCAUCUCUCAACGCGUUUCUCCGUUGAUGAUGCUCGAAACUGGUCGGCUCAUUAGUAUGUGAGGGGCUGGUUGCCACCUACCGGGCGGGGCAGCGGGUCAUUGAAACAAUGGUGUUAUGACUAGACAUCAUCAGAGAGUCCCGGUCUGAUCGAUUUCCUUGGAUGAUCGAUCGAUUCAACGUUUCUCCAUUUGCUGACCUCUCUCUCUCUCUUCUCUCUCCUCUUAAACUCGAAAGACUUCCUCUUCCUCGCGCUAUUUCCACCUCUCCUCCUAUGUACGUAAUAUAUAUAUAUAUAUAUUAGAAAAUGAAUGCUGUGUAAUUACUCGGAGCUUUCUGUACACGUAAUCUCGAUGUAAAUUAGUUGGGUAAUUUAUUCGAGGGAAAUCAAUUCGAAGGGGCGCACACAGGAUCGGUAUAAAUCAGACACGGAACGUUCCUUCUUUUUCUUUAUCUUCGUGUCUCUCUCUCUCUCUGUCUAACAGGAAGCAUCGCUUAUUCGAUCAAAUCGAUCGAUGGCUAAUAGACCUCUGCCGCGGGAGGAUCAUUAAUUAUGGCGUAAUACUACGUCGAGGAUGCGUCGAUCAACUCGAAGAGAAGGGAACUGUUCCUCUCCUCUUUUAAGAGAGAGAGAGAGAGAAAGAGAGUUAAGCCAGGUAACCAAAGUUUUGGGCUGGAAACGUUGCCAGGCCUGCGCAGCCCUCAUCCUCCUACCCCGAAAAAGGGUACAGAGUGCCAGUCAUAUAUUAGAGAACUGUUGGGGACACCUAACAAGCUGGCAGGACACGUUUCCCAGAAUCGGGGCUAACCGCCACCCUCUAUGGCUCUCCCCCUCCCCACAGGUUUUCUCCUUUUGUUUUCUCGAUAUUCCACCACGUAUUUCACGUCCAACUAGAAGCCAGCCGCGGAUAGAUAUUGUUUCGCACGCUCGUUCACGCUCCUCUCUCUCUCUUUCUCUCUCUUUGAACCGUUCAUCCUUGGGACUUUUUAAUCAACUCGAAGAACCCGUUAUUCCACGCGCAACGUUUCAUUAACCUUUUCCAAUAAUUAUUUUUCAAUCAAUUGGAAUAGAAGAAUUUUUGGAAUAUAGUUUAUUGUACAAUAGGGUAGAAUAGAAUGGGAUAUAGGGAGUGUAUAUAAGCAACGCGUUUAUAGAUAAUUCAAAGGAACGAUCAUUUAAUCUCCUUUCUUUUUCUCCUUCGUUUCCUUCUCUUUUUUUUAUUGCUACUUUGUUCGAAGCGGAUGGCUUUUAAAGGUUUAAUUACCCAGGUUGAAGAGGUUUUCGCAACGGGGUAUUAAGGCGAGCGCGCAACUAUCGUCUCCCCUCCCUCCAGGCUUAUCGGUGAUUAUUAAUCCGGUAGUUCCCUUUUAUAUACAUGGUGAGCUGUGCAACCUGUUCGCCCAGGAAUUAUUAUUAACAAGAGCGCGCAACCCCCGGGGGCAUUAAACGAUAAAUAGAAACGCUAGCACUCGCGGCAUUAAACUGUCCAGAGAUUGAGGAAAAAAGCUGUAUAUAUAGGGAAGGGAGUAGAUUAUUUCUCUUGUUGAAAAAUAUAAUUGAAAAAGUGGAGCGAUUAAAGUAGAGUGAUAAGGUAUAGGAUUAUGUUAAUUAUGUUAGAACAUGUUAGAACAUUUUUUGGAGGGUAGAUUUUCUUUGAAUAAAAAUAAUGAUUUAAGGAGAGGCACAGAUGACUUUAUCUCUAUUCGCGUGUAAUGUAAAUUUAUAACAUUAAUUGCCACGUCGAUUCCCUUUAUUUAAUCGCUUGUAAUACUUGAUAGAUAAUCUUCAAUCGAUAUUUUAUACGUGUAUCUUCCUCACCAUUCAUACAAGGAAAAUUUCAAUCAAGUUAGUUCAACUUGAUAUUUCUCUUUUUAAUAAUAAUAAAUUCCUCUUUCCUGUUUU
This 4197-nucleotide long non-coding RNA is filed under the name Apis mellifera (honey bee). Its description in RNAcentral is "uncharacterized LOC107964914". The record is from RNAcentral. Lineage: Eukaryota; Metazoa; Arthropoda; Insecta; Hymenoptera; Apidae.